AUUGAACGCUGGCGGCAUGCCUUACACAUGCAAGUCGAACGGCAGCACGGGAGCUUGCUCCUGGUGGCGAGUGGCGAACGGGUGAGUAAUACAUCGGAACGUACUCUGAAGUGGGGGAUAACGUAGCGAAAGUUACGCUAAUACCGCAUAUUCUGUGAGCAGGAAAGAGGGGGAUCGCAAGACCUCUUGCUUUAGGAGCGGCCGAUGUCGGAUUAGCUAGUUGGUGAGGUAAAGGCUCACCAAGGCGACGAUCCGUAGCGGGUCUGAGAGGAUGAUCCGCCACACUGGGACUGAGACACGGCCCAGACUCCUACGGGAGGCAGCAGUGGGGAA
This 333-nucleotide ribosomal RNA is filed under the name uncultured bacterium. Its description in RNAcentral is "bacterial SSU rRNA". It matches the Rfam family "Bacterial small subunit ribosomal RNA", at positions 30 to 361 of the family's 1533-position model. The record is from RNAcentral.